Molecule: non-coding RNA, 73 nt
Organism: Henosepilachna vigintioctopunctata
Lineage: Eukaryota; Metazoa; Arthropoda; Insecta; Coleoptera; Coccinellidae
Source: the annotation of a GenBank genome assembly
GCCUCCGUGGCUUGGUCCUGAAAACAUCCGACUAUGGUGCGGUGGGAUUCGGGUUCGAGCCCCGGUGAAGGCA